AACAGGAUUAGAUACCCUGGUAGUCCACGCCGUAAACGAUGUCGACUUGGAGGUUGUUCCCUUGAGGAGUGGCUUCCGGAGCUAACGCGUUAAGUCGACCGCCUGGGGAGUACGGCCGCAAGGUUAAAACUCAAAUGAAUUGACGGGGGCCCGCACAAGCGGUGGAGCAUGUGGUUUAAUUCGAUGCAACGCGAAGAACCUUACCUACUCUUGACAUCCACGGAAUUCGGCAGAGAUGCCUUAGUGCCUUCGGGAACCGUGAGACAGGUGCUGCAUGGCUGUCGUCAGCUCGUGUUGUGAAAUGUUGGGUUAAGUCCCGCAACGAGCGCAACCCUUAUCCUUUGUUGCCAGCGAUUCGGUCGGGAACUCAAAGGAGACUGCCGGUGAUAAACCGGAGGAAGGUGGGGAUGACGUCAAGUCAUCAUGGCCCCUACGAGUAGGGCUACACACGUGCUACAAUGGCGCAUACAAAGAGAAGCGACCUCGCGAGAGCAAGCGGACCUCAUAAAGUGCGUCGUAGUCCGGAUCGGAGUCUGCAACUCGACUCCGUGAAGUCGGAAUCGCUAGUAAUCGUGGAUCAGAAUGCCACGGUGAAUACGUUCCCGGGCCUUGUACACACCGCCCGUCACACCAUGGGAGUGGGUUGCAAAAGAAGUAGGUAGCUUAACCUCCGGGAGGGCGCUUACCACUUUGUGAUUCAUGACUGGGGUGAAGUCGUAACAAGGUA
RNAcentral lists this ribosomal RNA (727 nucleotides) under uncultured bacterium. RNAcentral describes it as "bacterial SSU rRNA". It matches the Rfam family "Bacterial small subunit ribosomal RNA", at positions 771 to 1498 of the family's 1533-position model. The record is from RNAcentral.